CCUAACUCAAAAACAUAGCACUGUACCAGCUCCUAGGAAGACAAUUAACUCUAUCCCACCCAAAACCAGGACACUGACCUACCUGAUUGCCUUCUCUGAUAGAAUGACUAGCUUUGUGGAUGAGGGGAGAGCAUUGCAUGUCAUUUACCUCAACUUUAGGAAGGCUUUUGACAUGAUCUCCCACAGCAUGGCUGUAUUCUCAUUGGGGCAUUAGGGUCUGAAUUCUUGGACAUCUAGAUGGUUAAAAAAACCCUGGUCAGCUGGUCACAUUCAAAGGGUAGUGGUCAAUAGGUUGUACUCUACCUGGGGGUCAGUAACAAGUGGAGUACUGCAGGGAUCUAGGCUGUUUGAGAUCUCUAUCAAUGACCUGAAGGAGGUGACAGAGUGCACUCUCAUGAAAUUUGGAAAUGACACCCAAUUCGGGGAAACAGUUGAUACACUUGAGGGCAGGGCUGCCAACAAGAGGGACCUGGACAGGCUGGAGGAAUAGGCCAACCUUAUGAAAUUCAACAAGGUCAAACACAAAGUCUUGUACUUGAGAAGGAAGAACCACCUGCAAUGAUGCAAACUAGGUAGCAGCUUUGCUGAAAAGGAUGUGGGGGUUUUGGUAGACAGCAUGUCUACAUGAGUCAGCAGUGUUUCCCUGGCAGCAAAGGCAGCCAGGAGUAUCAACAAGAGCUUAGCCAGUAGUUUAAUGGAAGUGAUUAUUCCCUUUUACUCAGCACUCAUUAGAGUGUAUCUACAAUACUGUGGUCAGAAUUGGGCACCCUAAUACAAGACAGACAUUGACAGACUGGAGCGAGUUCAGUGGAGGACCACCAAGAUGGUCGAGGAGCUGGAGCAAAUGCUCUGUGAGGGAGCUGGGCUUGUUCAGCCUGGAGGAAAGAAGGCUAUGGAGUGGGGGGAAGACAGCUAAUAGCACGAUCCCCACCUCCCAACACUUGCAACGAAGUUAUCAAGACAAUCCAGCCAGGCUCUUUACAGUGGUGCAUGGUGGAAGGAUGAGAAACAGUAGGCAUGAAUGGAAGCAAGAGAGGUUCAAACUAGAUAUGAGAAACUUUUUACCAUGAGGACAGUUAAGCAGUGGAGCUAGGGCCCAGAGAGACUGUGCAGUCUCCAUCCUUGGAGGUUUUCAAGACAAGACUAGGCAAAGCCCUGAGCAACUUGGUCUGAUCUCAUAGCUGACCCUGCUUUGAGCAAAGUGAAUUAGAGCUCCUGAACUCCCUUCCAACUUGAAUUAUCCUAUGAUCCUACAGCUGCCUGCUGCAGUACAGGCAGCCAUUCUGUUUUUUGUAGGCUGGGGGAGGCUGUGCGAGUGUGAUGCUAUGCUAAGAGUGGGUGAUUUAGUGGCCUGGCAAACUUCUGCAGUGAGCUCAUUCUCUGCUGAAGGAGAAAAGUCCCUUCCAAUCUGAAUUAUGCUGUGAUCCUGUGAUAUUCCAGGAAAGCAGGAAAAGAGGGGUAGGGGAGGAGGAGGAGAAGGAAGAAGGAAAACUUUGCUGUGGCAGCAUGCCUGAAUAAAAUUAUCAACAAUUGAUGGGUAACACACAACACAGAUUUGUGGAUUUAUAGAAGUGCUUAGUAUUUUUUUGUUUGAAAAUUAAGGGGAUUAGACUUUAGAAUGUGGUUGUAUUUGGGGCAGCAUUCAGCCAGCAGGAGCACAGAAUACCCAAUUGACAGGUAACAAAGAAGAGUCUACGAUUUGACACUGAGAACAUUUCCUGGCAAAGUAAAUGGGCUUGAUUGUUGGCCUAUUAGCUAGCAGAUUAUAUUGGGUGUACGCAGCAAGGUUCUGGUAGCAGGGGGCAGGGGCUACAUGGGUGGCCUCUGUGAGAAGAGGUCAGGGGUUGCCCUGUGCUGGACACAGCUGGUUCCAGCCAGCUCAGUAACGGCCCCACCACAGGCCACAGCUGAGCCCAUCAGUGAAGCUGGUAGUGGCUCUGUGAAAACAUAUUUAAGAAAGACCAAAAAUGCUGGGGGGGGAAGUGUGAAAAACAACAGUGAGAACACCAAAGUCAGAGAAGAAGGAGGGGGAGGAGGUGCUCCAGGUGCCACAGCAGAUAUUUCCCUGAAUCCUGUGGAAGAGACCACAAUGAAGCAGGUAUUUCCCUGUGGUCCAUGGAGAACCCAUGCUGAAGUAGAUUCUCCUGACAGGAACUGCAGCCUGUGUGCCAGAGUCCAAUACUCUCCGACCAGGUUCUUUUAGAUAUUUCACAUAAGGAGGUUGUAAUAUUUUAAUAUCAAAUUUACUUAUUUGAAGAUAUUUGAUGUUACACAGGAUUUUGAUUUAGCAGAAUGAUACAGCGAUAUACUGAAAUACCAAUACAAGCAUAAUAUAGCAAUUGCAAUAUACAAUUGAAUCACAAUACAAACAUGAUUGCCAUUACUGAUAUCUAUAUGCUCACCAUCCCAAUGCUGUGUGUCUCCAGUUGCCAGGAAGGAAUACAUGGGUUGAAGCCAACACAAGCUGACCAAUUACUGUCAUGGGCAAAACAGACUCGACUUGGGGAAAAUUAAUUUCAUUUAUUGACAAUUAAAAGAGAUUUGGAUACUGAAAAACAAAGACAAAAAAUUAAAGCCCUACACCCCCUUCUUCCCAGGCUCAACUUCACUCCUUCAUUCCCGACUCCUCUAACUUCUCCCCCUGCCCUAAGCAGCACAGGGAUGAUGGGGAAUGGGAGGGUUAAGGUCAAUUCAUAACAGGUCCUCUCUGCUUCUCCUUCCUCCUCACACUUUUCCCUUGCUCCAGUGUGGGUCAUCUCCAUGGGCCACAGUCCUUCAGGCUAAACAUGCUCCAGUGUGGACUCCUCUCUACAGGCCGCAGCUCCUGACAGGAGAACUUGCUCCAGCAUGGGCUCUCCAUAGGCCACAGUUCCGUCAAGAAAUAUCCACCUGCUCCAGCAUGGGGUGUUCCACAGGCUGCAGUGCGGAUAUCUGCUCUGGCAUGGUCCUCUCCACGGGCUGCAGGGAAAUACCUGCUCUACCGUGGUCUCUUCCAAAACUUCCACAGGCUGCAGAGCUGCAUGAAGAAGCACUGAAAUAUGGAGAGUAUUCAAGGCAAGGACUGCAUCCCUUUCUAGGAAGAAGGAACAGGCCAAAAUUGUGCAAGUAUACAUCAUAUAUUUAUUUUUAUUAUUGAACAACUCUCUCCAAAAUUGGGCACAGAGAUUAAAAAUAAAAAUUAAUUGUACUACUUCAUAAAGCAUUAGUAGUAACUCAUAAAAAAGUACAAGUUUUGUUAAAAAUUUAUCAAGCUUGCAAAUGAUUUCAUUAGAUAUUUAUAAUACAUUUAAAAUAUGUUAAAUGACACAAUAAAGUGUGAUUUUAAAGAAAAUGUUUGACAAAAUAUGAUUCUAACAAAACCCAUAAGCUUUGAUAAUCAUUAACAAACCAAACAAAUAGCAAAAUGAGGUAACAAUGUACCAAAGGAAAGGAAAAAAAAAAAAAAACCACAAAGCC
Aquila chrysaetos chrysaetos is the source of this 3456-nucleotide long non-coding RNA. RefSeq lists it as uncharacterized. Lineage: Eukaryota; Metazoa; Chordata; Aves; Accipitriformes; Accipitridae. The transcript has 2 exons. The record is from RefSeq and is a predicted model, not a curated record.